AUGAUUUUAAUAGUCGAACAGACUAACAAUUUAAACUCCUGCAUCUAAAUUAUAUCAUAAUUCAACAUCGAGGUCGCAAACACUUUUAUCAAUUUGGUCUCUCCAAAAAUAUUACG
RNAcentral lists this ribosomal RNA (116 nucleotides) under Sphecidae sp. CH-2014. RNAcentral's name for it is "partial 16S ribosomal RNA". Lineage: Eukaryota; Metazoa; Arthropoda; Insecta; Hymenoptera; Sphecidae. The record is from RNAcentral.